Molecule: long non-coding RNA, 422 nt
Filed under: Rattus norvegicus (Norway rat)
Lineage: Eukaryota; Metazoa; Chordata; Mammalia; Rodentia; Muridae
Description: long non-coding RNA NONRATT014585
Source: RNAcentral
CCAGAAGCCGGUCCCAUUCCUCGGAUCCCUAAUCCUGCCAGACACGAGUUAGUUAAACAGACAGAAGCUCCCGGAGAAUGGGACCAUCGUCUGGGACCUGGGCCCCCUCUAAGGGCUGAGAGAGCACAUUCCCAGUCGGCCACCAGAACUCUGACAGGUACUCGAUUAAAAUUGCAUUUGCUGAACUUGGAGCACACCCACAGAAAGCAGAGCGCCAACCACAACAAAAGUUUCGGAAAUUAAAGUUCUUUCUACAAGGACAACUUGUUGCAGAUAAUCAUUCCUGCCCAACAUGGGGGUUCCGGGACAGGGGGAAAAAGUCUGCAUACUCUGCAACAAAUGGGAGUCUUUAUUGCUUUUAAUCGACCCUCAGCCAAAUAACCAGUUCAUUCGUGAUUGGCUUGCUGCAGAAACCAUGUGGC